Molecule: ribosomal RNA, 982 nt
Filed under: uncultured bacterium
Lineage: Bacteria
Description: bacterial SSU rRNA
Rfam family: Bacterial small subunit ribosomal RNA
Source: RNAcentral
GGGGGGGGUGACGAUUACUGGGCGUAAGAGCGCGUAGGCGGCUCCUUGCGUCGGCGGUGUAAGCCCUCGGCUCAACCGGGGGAGGUCCGUCGAUACGGAGGGGCUGGAGCCCAGCAGAGGAGUGUGGAAUGCCCGGUGGAGGGGUGAAAUCCGUAGAUAUCGGGCAGAACGCCGGCGACGAAGGUGGCACUCUGGGCUGGUGCUGACGCUGAGGCGCGAAAGCUAGGGGAGCAAACGGGAUUAGAUACCCCGGUAGUCCUAGCCGUAAACGAUGCGCACUAGGUGUCGGGAGUCUCGACCCUCCCGGUGCCGGAGCUAACGCGGUAAGUGCGCCGCCUGGGGAGUACGGCCGCAAGGCUGAAACUCAAAGGAAUUGACGGGGGCCCGCACAAGCGGUGGAGCAUGUGGUUUAAUUCGAUGCUACGCGAAGGACCUUACCAGGGUUUGACAUGGUCGGUGAACGGUGCCCGAAAUGGUGCCGGUGCCGUCCUUCGGGGCGGAUCCUCCGAUCACCGGUGGUGCAUGGCUGUCGUCAGCUCGUGUCGUGAGAUGUUGGGUUCAGUUCCGCAACGAGCGCAACCCUCACCGCGUGUUGCCUCUGUCUCUUCGGAGACCGGCUCUCGCGCGGAACUGCCUCGGCAACGAGGAGGAAGGUGGGGAUGACGUCAAGUCAGCAUGGCCUUUAUGUCCAGGGCCACACACGUGUUACAAUGCGCGCUACAAAGCGUCGCGAACCCGCGAGGGGGAGCUAAUCGCAAAAAAGCGCGCUCAGUUCGGAUUGCAGUCUGCAACUCGACUGCAUGAAGCUGGAAUCGCUAGUAAUGGCGUAUCAGAACGACGCCGUGAAUACGUUCCCGGGCCUUGUACACACCGCCCGUCACAUCACGAAAGUGAGCUGUACUAGAAGUCGCCCCGCUAACCGCAAGGAGGCAGGCGCCCAAAGGUAUGGCCCAUGAUUGGGGUGAAGUCGUAACAAGGUAAC